Triticum urartu is the source of this 115-nucleotide non-coding RNA. The record is from Rfam. Lineage: Eukaryota; Viridiplantae; Streptophyta; Magnoliopsida; Poales; Poaceae.
UACGUACUUCCUCCGUUCCGAAUUACUCGUCGCAGAAAUGGAUGUAUCAAGAUGUAUUUUAGUUCUAGAUACAUCUAUUUCUGCGACGAGUAAUUCGAAACGUAGGAAGUACUUG